This 465-nucleotide ribosomal RNA is filed under the name anaerobic bacterium G35. RNAcentral describes it as "bacterial SSU rRNA". It matches the Rfam family "Bacterial small subunit ribosomal RNA", at positions 19 to 501 of the family's 1533-position model. The record is from RNAcentral.
CUGGCUCAGGAUGAACGCUGACAGAAUGCUUAACACAUGCAAGUCGAUUCGAUUUACCUUCGGGUAUUGAGGAUGGCGGACGGGUGAGUAACGCGUAAGGAACUUGCCUCUUGGUCUGGGACAACUGUUGGAAACGACAGCUAAUACCGGAUAUUAUGAGAUUCUCGCAUGGGAAACUUAUGAAAGCUAUAUGCGCCAAGAGAGAGCCUUGCGUUCCAUUAGCUAGUUGGUGGGGUAACGGCCCACCAAGGCGACGAUGGAUAGCCGGCCUGAGAGGGUGAACGGCCACAAGGGGACUGAGACACGGCCCUUACUCCUACGGGAGGCAGCAGUGGGGAAUAUUGGACAAUGGGCCACAAGCCUGAUCCAGCAAUUCUGUGUGCACGAUGAAGGUCUUCGGAUUGUAAAGUGCUUUCAGUUGGGAAGAAGAAAGUGACGGUACCAACAGAAGAAGCGACGGCUAAA